Molecule: small RNA, 127 nt
Filed under: Marmota monax (woodchuck)
Lineage: Eukaryota; Metazoa; Chordata; Mammalia; Rodentia; Sciuridae
Source: RNAcentral
GCUGGGCGUGGUAGCACACGCCUAUAAUCCCAGUGGCUUGGGAGGCAGAGGCAGGAGGAUCAAGAGUUCAAAGCCAGUCUCAGCAAUUUAGUGGGGCACUAAGCAACUCAGUGAGACCCUGUCUCUA